Molecule: ribosomal RNA, 261 nt
Filed under: uncultured archaeon
Lineage: Archaea
Description: partial 16S ribosomal RNA
Rfam family: Archaeal small subunit ribosomal RNA
Source: RNAcentral
AGGGUGUAAACGCUGCAGACUUGGUGUUGGAGGCCCUUUGGGGGCAUUCAGUGCCGGAGAGAAGUUGUUAAGUCUGCUACUUGGGGAGUACGUCCGCAAGGAUGAAACUUAAAGGAAUUGGCGGGGGAGCACCGCAACGGGAGGAGCGUGCGGUUUAAUUGGAUUCAACACCGUAAAACUCACCAGGGAAGACUGAUACAUGAAGGCCGAGAUGAAGACUCUGCUAGAUUUUCAGAGAGGAGGUGCAUGGCGUCAGUGACU